RNAcentral lists this ribosomal RNA (271 nucleotides) under uncultured prokaryote. RNAcentral describes it as "partial 16S ribosomal RNA". It matches the Rfam family "Bacterial small subunit ribosomal RNA", at positions 524 to 794 of the family's 1533-position model. The record is from RNAcentral.
UACGUAGGUGGCGAGCGUUGUCCGGAUUUACUGGGCGUAAAGGGAGCGUAGGCGGACUUUUAAGUGAGAUGUGAAAUACCCGGGCUCAACUUGGGUGCUGCAUUUCAAACUGGAAGUCUAGAGUGCAGGAGAGGAGAAUGGAAUUCCUAGUGUAGCGGUGAAAUGCGUAGAGAUUAGGAAGAACACCAGUGGCGAAGGCGAUUCUCUGGACUGUAACUGGCGCUGAGGCUCGAAAGCGUGGGGAGCAAACAGGAUUAGAUACCCCGGUAGU